RNAcentral lists this ribosomal RNA (460 nucleotides) under uncultured bacterium. Its description in RNAcentral is "partial 16S ribosomal RNA". It matches the Rfam family "Bacterial small subunit ribosomal RNA", at positions 338 to 795 of the family's 1533-position model. The record is from RNAcentral.
CCUACGGGAGACAGCAGUGAGGAAUAUUGGUCAAUGGACGAGAGUCUGAACCAGCCAAGUAGCGUGAAGGAUGACUGCCCUAUGGGUUGUAAACUUCUUUUAUAUGGGAAUAAAAUGUUCCACGUGUGCGUUUUUGUAUGUACUAUAUGAAUAAGGAUCGGCUAACUCCGUGCCAGCAGCCGCGGUAAUACGGAGGAUCCGAGCGUUAUCCGGAUUUAUUGGGUUUAAAGGGAGCGUAGGUGGGUUGUUAAGUCAGUUGUGAAAGUUUGCGGCUCAACCGUAAAAUUGCAGUUGAAACUGGCAGUCUUGAGUACAGUAGAGGUAGGCGGAAUUCGUGGUGUAUCGGUGAAAUGCUUAGAUAUCACGAAGAACUCCGAUUGCGAAGGCAGCUUACUAGACUGCAACUGACACUGAUGCUCGAAAGUGUGGGUAUCAAACAGGAUUAGAUACCCGAGUAGUC